UACGUAGGGGGCAAGCGUUGUCUGGAACUAUUGGGCGUAAAGCGCGCGCAGGCGGUUCUGUAAGUCUGCUGUAAAAGCCCACGGCUCAACCGUGGAGGGUCAUUGGAGACUGGGGAACUUGAGGACAGAAGAGGAGAGUGGAAUUCCACGUGUAGCGGUGAAAUGCGUAGAUAUGUGGAGGAACACCAGUGGCGAAGGCGACUCUCCGGUCUGUUUCUGACGCUGAGGUGCGAAAGCGUGGGUAGCAAACAGG
Molecule: unclassified non-coding RNA, 253 nt
Filed under: uncultured Bacillaceae bacterium
Lineage: Bacteria; Bacillati; Bacillota; Bacilli; Caryophanales; Bacillaceae
Description: contains 16S-23S intergenic spacer region
Rfam family: Bacterial small subunit ribosomal RNA
Source: RNAcentral